GAUGAACGCUGGCGGCGUGCCUAAUACAUGCAAGUCGAGCGAACAGACGAGGAGCUUGCUCCUCUGACGUUAGCGGUGGACGGGUGAGUAACACGUGGAUAACCUACCUAUAAGACUGGGAUAACUUCGGGAAACCGGAGCUAAUACCGGAUAACAUGCUGAACCGCAUGGUUCAACAGUGAAAGACGGUCUUGCUGUCACUUAUAGAUGGAUCCGCGCCGCAUUAGCUAGUUGGUAGGGUAACGGCCUACCAAGGCUACGAUGCGUAGCCGACCUGAGAGAGGGAUCGGCCACACUGGAGGUGAGACACGGACCAGAGUCCUACGAGAGGCAGCAGUAGGGAAUCUUACGCAAUAGGCGAAAGCCUGACGGAGCGACGGCACGUGAGUGAAGGAGAUCUUCGGAUCGUAAAACUGUGUUAUUGGGGAAGAACAAAUGUGUAAGUAACUAUGCACGUCUUGACGGUACCUAAUCAGAAAGCCACGGCUAACUACGUG
Molecule: ribosomal RNA, 497 nt
Filed under: uncultured bacterium
Lineage: Bacteria
Description: partial 16S ribosomal RNA
Rfam family: Bacterial small subunit ribosomal RNA
Source: RNAcentral